GAUGAACGCUGGCGGCGUGCUUAACACAUGCAAGUCGAACGGUGAAGCAGAGCUUGCUCUGUGGAUCAGUGGCGAACGGGUGAGUAACACGUGAGCAACCUGCCCCUUACUCUGGGAUAAGCGCUGGAAACGGCGUCUAAUACUGGAUAUGAGCUGCGACCGCAUGGUCAGCAGUUGGAAAGAUUUUUCGGUAUGGGAUGGGCUCACGGCUUAUCAGCUUGGUGGUGAGGUAAUGGCUCACCAAGGCGUCGACGGGUAGCCGGCCUGAGAGGGUGACCGGCCACACUGGGCCUGAGACACGGCCCAGACGCCUACGGGAGGCAGCAGUGGGGAAUAUUGCACAAUGGGCGAAAGCCUGAUGAAGCAACGCCGCGUGAGGGAUGACGGCCUUCGGGGUGUAAAAAUCUUUUAGCAGGGAAGCAGCGAAAGUGACGGUACCUGCAGAAAAAGCGCCGGCUAACUACGUG
This 467-nucleotide ribosomal RNA is filed under the name uncultured bacterium. Its description in RNAcentral is "partial 16S ribosomal RNA". It matches the Rfam family "Bacterial small subunit ribosomal RNA", at positions 28 to 507 of the family's 1533-position model. The record is from RNAcentral.